AGUGAACGCUGGCGGCAGGCCUAACACAUGCAAGUCGAACGGCAGCACAGAGGAGCUUGCUCCUUGGGUGGCGAGUGGCGGACGGGUGAGGAAUGCGUCGGAAUCUGCCUUUUUGUGGGGGAUAACGUAGGGAAACUUACGCUAAUACCGCAUACGACCUACGGGUGAAAGUGGGGGACCGCAAGGCCUCACGCAGAAAGAUGAGCCGACGCCGGAUUAGCUAGUUGGCGGGGUAAAGGCCCACCAAGGCGACGAUCCGUAGCUGGUCUGAGAGGAUGAUCAGCCACACUGGGACUGAGACACGGCCCAGACUCCUACGGGAGGCAGCAGUGGGGAAUAUUGGACAAUGGGCGCAAGCCUGAUCCAGCCAUGCCGCGUGUGUGAAGAAGGCCUUCGGGUUGUAAAGCACUUUUGUCCGGAAAGAAAUCCUUUCGAUUAAUACUCGGGAGGGAUGACGGUACCGGAAGAAUAAGCACCGGCUAACUUCGUGCCAGCCGCCGCCGUAA
This 506-nucleotide ribosomal RNA is filed under the name uncultured bacterium. Its description in RNAcentral is "partial 16S ribosomal RNA". It matches the Rfam family "Bacterial small subunit ribosomal RNA", at positions 29 to 523 of the family's 1533-position model. The record is from RNAcentral.